This 379-nucleotide long non-coding RNA is filed under the name Bos taurus (domestic cattle). RNAcentral describes it as "long non-coding RNA NONBTAT024088". The record is from RNAcentral. Lineage: Eukaryota; Metazoa; Chordata; Mammalia; Artiodactyla; Bovidae.
ACUGUAACAAAAACUCUUUUUAUUCUUCUUAAACUGAAGUGUUUUCCACCACUUAAACACUCUUUUACACGUAUGAUCUCUACCAGGUACAACGUCACCCUCUUGAUUAAUAGGCAAAAGUGUUAUUCACUGACAAAGUAGAAUCAACUGAUAUUAGAAUAUUUGUUAGGAUUAAUCUCAUUUUUUUGGAAUUGAAAUUACAACUGACACUUAAAUCAUGUUGUUUUGGGGCUUUUGAUGAACAUAUAAUUCAUAAUUUCUCAAAAAUUUUUAAACAUUAGCAGUAUUAGGCAAAAUAGCUGUGUUCUAUAUUCUGUCAAGUCUAAAACGUGCACAAAUUACAAAAUAAUGUUUAGAUUAUCUAAUUUUUUUGAUUAUU